This is a long non-coding RNA of Salvelinus fontinalis (brook trout), 4607 nucleotides long. RefSeq lists it as uncharacterized. The transcript is spliced from 2 exons. Lineage: Eukaryota; Metazoa; Chordata; Actinopteri; Salmoniformes; Salmonidae. The record is from RefSeq and is a predicted model, not a curated record.
AAGCUUACUGAACGCAGCCCAGAAUGGAUCUUUUGCAAAUUUGAAGGGGUUGGGCAAAGGCUGAAAUUGGGGUUGAGAGUUAACCUUUAAGGCAGGCAUGUCAUACUCAUUCUACAGAGGGCUUUUCAAUUUAAACCUAGACACCCACGUGAGGGGAGUUCCUUACUAAUUACACCGGAUCUUCGCAGCUAGCUAGUUGCUACCAAGUGGCUAUUGUGGCUAACGCCCUUGUCCAGAAGCAUGCACCAGUUAGCCUCGAGCUAGGCCCAUUUCCCGGCUAGCAAACAAAGUACACCACCUACAAUACCUCUCUUGCCAAUUGGCCUGGACCCUUUGUCGACACGGAGCCGCGCCGAUCCAUCACGACUGGUCUGCUGGUGUAAUUCGACCGAUAUGCUCUCAACUGGCCUGUGCGUCGCAGAUGUUGGUGAUGAUCCUUCUGCUAGACCCGGAUUGCUAGCUUCCUGAAUGCCAUGUCUCCCGCUCGCCUAGCGUAGUAAUCUGCUUCCGAAAAGCUCCCUGUUUCAUCUAUUGCUGCUCAUUGGACCCUAUGAUCACUCGGCUACACAGCUGAUGCCUGCUGGACUGUUCAUUAACACGGACCUGAGCACUAGGACCAUGCCUCAGGACUACCUGGCAUGAUGACUCCUUGCUGUCCCCAGUCCACCUGGCUGUGCUGCUGCUCCAGUUUCAACUGUUCUGCCUUCGGCUAUGGAACCCUGACCUGUUCACCGGACGUGCUAUCUGUCCCAGACCUGCUGUUUUCAACUCUCUAGAGGCAGCAGGAGCGGUAGAGAUACUCUUAAUGAUCGGCUAUGAAAAGCCAACUGACAUUUACUCCUGAGGUGCUGACUUGUUCCACCCUCGACAACUUGUGUGAUUAUUAUUAUUUGACCAUGCUGGUCAUUUAUGAACAUUUGAACAUCUUGGCCAUGUUCUGUUAUAAUCUCCACCCGGCUCAGCCAGAAGAGGACUGGCCACCCCUCAUAGCCUGGUUCCUCUAUAGGUUUUGGCAUUUCUAGGGAGUUUUUCCUAGCCACCGUGCUUCUACACCUGCAUUGCUUGCUGUUUGGAGUUUUAGGCUGGGUUUCUGUACAGCACCUUGAGAUAUCAGCUGAUGUAAGAAGGGCUAUAUAAAUACAUUUGAUUUGAUAUUCACUCUAAAAGUCAAAGCCAGAGCCAUGACAUCAACAUAAACCAUGUUUUGAGGCGUUACAUUGUUUGUUUACAAUGACAUUGUAUACAAACAAUUAAGUAAAACAAGCUUAUAUUCUGGGUUCUGAUGGAGUACGACAGUUGAACUAAGCUCAUGAGGCACUUAUAACGUAUACUCUUACAGAAUCAGUGGGAAUGUAACGUUAAGGCAAAAUACCAAAAAGUGGACUUAGUGAUCGCAGUUGUCUGUUUUCAUAUCGUGGCCGAAAUAGCUCAGUUGGGAGAGCGUUAGACUGAAGAUCUGAAGUCCCUGGUUCGAUCCCGGGUUUUGGCAGUUAGUUUUUCCUGUGUAGCAUAGUCUCGCGGAACUGUCCUUUUAAUGCUUGCAAAACACCGGUAUGCUACCUGAUGGGUGUUUUGACUUUAUUUUGCACUACCUGCAUUGAUGCCAGCUACAUAGAAAGGCUGCCUCUCUCGUUCUGUUCUCAUUUUAUAUUUACAACACCCGGCCCGUACAUGGAUGGAACAAUGACGUUAUAAACACAGAGUUUCUAAACUCAGAGACGCAACAUCGCGAAUUUUACGGGAACGCUUGGAAGCAAACUAAAUAGACCAAUCCGGGGAUAUUAUUAUUAUUAUUAUUUUUUUUUUUAAUUUUAUUAACAGCAAAUCCAUACAGGAAGUACUUGUGGGAACACAAGUUAAUAAUCUCCACCCGGCACAGCCAGAAGAGGACUGGCCACCCCGCAUAGCCUGGUUCCUCCUAGGUUUCUUCCAAGGUUUUGGCCUUUCUAGGGAGUUUUUCCUAGCCGCCGUGCUUCUACACCUGCAUUGCUUGCUGUUUGGGGUUUUAGGCUGGGUUUCUGUACAGCACUUCGAGAUAUUAGCUCAGGGGUCGGGAACCUUUUUGACUAAGAGAGCCAUGAAAGCAAAUAUUUUGGAAAUUUAUUUCAGUGAGAGCCAUAUAAUAUAUUUUAAACGUGAAUUCAACUAAAUGUCAGUAUAAUAAGCCUCUGAAUUUGUCGAAGUGCCGCUUUACAUUCGACCGUUUCAUCAAUGUAAUUUUGUCAUUGCAAAUUAGACACACCGCAGAACCUGCUCUCUCCACAAAGGCGAAUUCUUCGGUCCAUUCGUCCUGAAAUGUACGAUACUCGUCAUCUUUUUUCUUUUUGCCAUCUUCUUCGUCGAAGGGUUAGCUUUGAGCUAAUGACCGAGCAGACUGAUUCAAAAGGAGGCGUUUACCUGUUUUACCUAGCAACGGCCGGCGUAGGCCAGUAUCAUUUAAUUAAAAUAAUGGACAAUUGCUCCUGCAGCCCUGAACAGGACAUGAGCAGUGAAAAAUCGAUGGUUGGAUUAAAACAAGUGAGAAUAGGCCUCCAGGGUGGCGCAGUGGUCUAGAGCACUGCAUCGCAGUGCUAGCUGCGCCACCAGAGUCUCUGGGUUCGCGCCCAGGCUCGGUCGCAGCCGGCCGCGACCGGGAGGUCCGUGGGGCGAUACACAAUUGGCUUAGCGUCGUCCGGGUUAGGGAGGGUUUGUUUGGUAGGGAUAUCCUUGUCUCAUCAUGCUCCAGCAACUCCUGUGGCGGGCCGGGUGCAGUGCGCGCUAACCGAGGGGGGCGGGUGCACGGUGUUUCCUCCGACACAUUGGUUGCGGCUGGCUUCCGGGUUGGAGGCGCGCUGUGCUAAGAAGCAGUGCGGUUUGGUUGGGUUGUGCUUCGGAGGACGCAUGGCUUUCGACCUUUGUCUCUCCUGAGCCCGUACGGGAGUUGUAGCGAUGCGACAAGAUAGUAAUUACUAGCGAUUGGAUACCACGAAAAUUGGGGAGAAAAGGGGAUAAAAAAAAUAAUAAUAAAAAAUCACACUUUUUUUUUUUUUUUUUUUUUUGAUCUGCGAGCCAGAUGCAAUCAUCAAAAGAGCCACACCUGGCUCGGGAGCCAUAGGUUCCCGACCCCUGUAUUAGCUGAUGUACGAAGGGCUAUAUAAAAUAAACUUGAAAUACAUAGUAUACAAAGGACAAUUGGGCUUGAGGUAUAAUAUCAUAAAGGGACAUACAUACACUUAGAAUUCUGACAGCUUUUUUGUUAAUAGAGUAUUUAAUUGUCUUAAAAUAUAGUUCCAUUUAUUUUUGUAAGGUAAUAAAAUGUGGUGUUUCGUUUUAAAAUUUUAAUUUGUGAAUAUGAGAUUUGGCCAAAAGAAUAAUGAAAUUAAUUACAUAAACGUGUUUCAGUUAAUUUCUAUUGUAGGUAAAGAAUCCAAGCAGUACAUCUCUCCACAAUAUUGUAAAAUCUUCAUAAAUGUGUUCAAUUAUAAAUCUUCUGAUGUCUUGCCACAGUUUCCUUACAUGAAUACAAUGCCCAAAAAUAUGCAACACUGUUUCUGGGUGGUCAUUACAAAAGGUACAAUUUGAGUUUAUGUUUUCCUUAAACUUCUUCAUUUAGUGAUUGGCAGGAUAAUAUUUAUGAACAAUUUUAAAGGAAACUUCCUUAAUUUUGUUAAGUAGGUAUGUGUGUGGCAAUAUCCAAACUUUUUUCCAACAGAUAUUAUCAAUAAAUCUGUUCCAAUAAGGCAUGACAUAAGGUGUAGAUACAACAUCCUGCUGAAACAAGGUUCGUAUCGCUCUGUUGUUGAAUGGACCAAAAGAUAAACAAAUCUUUCCUACUGAUGAGUCAACAGUGGUAAUGUUCCUGAAUAAUAAAGCAAUAACUGAGGGAAUGGCAUCUAAAACAAUUGCAAAAUCUUUAGGUGUUAGGACCUUGUAAAGUGAUAAGAAUUCCUUAUAACUAAGUUUAAAAAACUCUGCAUUUACAAGUUGGCUCACCAAUAGGAUAUUAUUUCAGAACCAAUAUUUAAAAAACAAAUAAGUAUUUUUAUACUAUAUAUCUUGAUUAUUCCAUAAAUAAUAUCUGUGUGGAGAAAAUGUAUGCUAAUAAAUUAAGGACCAUGACAAGAAAUCCUGCCGAUGAAAAGCAGAAAGUUUCACUGAAACUUUGUCAAUAUUAUAAUUGCAAACCAACAUGAAGUUAAGGCCACCAAAAGUAGAGAAGACAUGAUAAAUGUCUUCAUGAUAAAGACAGGAAUAAAAUUCCACAUAGAUGUGGGUCUUCUUAGGAAUUAUUUUAUCCAAAGGAUUGUCACGACUUCCGCCGGUCCCUCUCCUUGUUCGGGCGGUGUUCGGCGGUCGACGUCACUGACCUUCUAGCCAUCAUUGAUCCAUUUUUCGUUUUCCAUUGGUUUUGUCUUGUCUUCCUACACACCUGGUUCCAAUCCCAUCAAUUACAUAUGGUGUAUUUUACCUUCUGUUUCCCCUCAUAUCCUUGUCGGAGAUUGUUUUGUUUGUAUGUGAUGUGCAUUUUAGUAUUGGUGUGCGACGGGUUUUGUACCCACUUGUUAUUUUGUACAUUUUUGUUGUUUUGGAGUUUGUCAGUAUUUAUUAAACAACUCCGUUUAUACCAA